AGCGAACAUUGGCGGUAGGCUUAACACAUGCAAGUCGAGCGAGGCGUAAUAGUCGAGCGGCGAACGGGUGAGUAAUACAUGGGAAUCUACCUCGAGGUGGGGGAUAACAGCCAGAAAUGGCUGCUAAUACCGCAUAAUCCGGGAACGGGAAAGCGCGCUGCGCUUUGAGAUGAGCCCAUGGCUGAUUAGCUAGUUGGUGGGGUAAAGGCCUACCAAGGCGACGAUCAGUAGCUGGUCUGAGAGGAUGAGCAGCCACACUGGAACUGAGACACGGUCCAGACUCCUGCGGGAGGCAGCAGUGGGGAAUCUUGCGCAAUGGGGGCAACCCUGACGCAGCCAUACCGCGUGUGCGAUGAAGGUCUUCGGAUUGUAAAGCACUUUCAGUAGGGACGACGAUGACGGUACCUACAGAAGAAGUCACGGCUAACUUCGUGCCAGCAGCCGCCGUAA
This 450-nucleotide ribosomal RNA is filed under the name uncultured bacterium. RNAcentral describes it as "partial 16S ribosomal RNA". It matches the Rfam family "Bacterial small subunit ribosomal RNA", at positions 29 to 523 of the family's 1533-position model. The record is from RNAcentral.